UGAUAUUACCCCUGAUAUAUUUUUGAAACUGUUAACUUUUAACAGACAAGAAUCAAAUGGAAGAUAUUUACUUAAUGAUGUUCUAUAAAAACAGGCAUAGAACCCAGGGAAGGCAUUUUCAAAUCUCAACUAUGGCUCAUAAUGGCUGGGUGUCAUCUGUACCUUUAUAUAAAUAAGAGAGGUUCAGCGCUAUCAAACAAGGUUCAAUCCACCAUUUUCUACAUAAAAAAAUGCCUGUACCAUGUCAGGAAUGUGACAGUUGUAAACCAUUCGUUUGAUGUGUUUGAGCAAUUGAUUACAGACUUUCGGUUUUGAAUUUUCCUUGGAGAUCAUUUUUUUUGUAGUUUUACGUGUUUUUUUUGCACAGUUAAAAUAUAAAUGAAAUUAUAAGUGGUUACCUAUUUUCAAAGUUCCUUCCAUGGGUACCAUGUAUGUUUAAAUGGACCAGCCAUUUUUCUUAUAAUGAAUGUAAAUAUUUAUACAUGUAUUAAAUCAUUCGUUAAUCAGUAUAGAUAUUUUGGUAUCAGUUAGUUUUAGAUUAAUUAGUUAGAGUAAUUGAUCCAUCUCAAAUUUGAUAUAAGAGUGCUAAUAACCUUUUCAUAUAUUUUUUUUAAAGAUUUUGUUUGUUUUGCAUUAUAAAAUUUGAAAUUUAAAAGCAAUUGAUAUGAUUAUUUGUUCAAUUAUAUUUAUGAUUUGUAUCUAUAUCUUUGAUGUAUUUACUUUUAGCUUUUUUGUACACUUUGUGAGCCAAGGCUCUGUGUUGAAGACAGUACUUUGACCUAUAAUUGUUUACUUUUACAAAUUUAGACUUGGAUGGAGAGUUGUCUCAUAGGCACUCAUACCACAUCUUAUUUUAUCUAUUGUCUGUCUUCAAGGCUAAUUUCCUUUUUAGCUCACCUGGCCCGAAUUUUGCAGUUUUUGGUUAUAAUCUUGAAUAUAAUUAUAGAUAGCCAUGAACUGUAAACAGCAAUAAUGUUCAGCAAAGAAAGGUCUACAAUUAAGUCAACAUAACUAAAAUUUUCAAAUGACCCUUUAAGGAGUUAUCGCCCUUUAUAGUCAAUUUUUAACAAUUGAGAGCCUCUAGUUUAUUUUUGCCAUGUCAUUGUCAGUUUAUUUUUUCCACUUAUGAAAUUAAAUACUCUUUUUUUUUGGCUAACCAAUCCUUUUGCCUUCUUUCAGCUAACCUAGAAAAAUGGCAAUGUAUAACUUGUUAUUACUUAGUGUGUGUUAUUGUCUGUUCUUGAAUGAGUCACAAAAUGAGAAACAAGAGGUCAUCCUUACAACCCUUAAUGUAAAGUAUUUUAUUAUAUCUCAAGAAACAAAGUUCCAUAAUAACAUUAACGGUACCAAUUUUCCUGCACCAAAUGCGCAUUUUGACAAUAUAUGUCUCUUCAGUGAUGCUGGUGGCCAAAAUAUUUAAAAUCCAAAGGUUAUAUAAAAGAUGAAGAGCUAUAAUCCAAAAGGUCCUAAAAGUAUAGCCAAAUCCGCGAAAGGAAUCAGAGCUUUGCAUGAGGGAGAUACAUUCCUGAGUCCUAUUUAUAAAACUUUUUAGCAUUUUGUAACAGCAAAUUUUAAUAACAGAAAAAAAUCCGUAUUGGUAUAAUGUUUUUGACCUUGUCCAUCAGUUAAUCAGUCCUGUUCUUGUAAUCGCAUCUUCGUAAAAACCAAGCAACCUUAUUUCCUGAAACUAAGAUAACAAUGACUUCAUUACCAACCCCAUCCUUAUCUUUAGUUUUUAAUUGAGUAUACAAACAAAACAAAGAGAUGUGAUAUGAUUAUCCCUAAGCUUGAGUACACUACCCAUGGCAGAUAAAAUGAUGUGGAUGUAAACAAUUUUUAAGUACUAAUGAUAUUCAGAUAGGUUGAAAAUUAUUAUAGCUUCCAUGAAUGUUAUUCUUUCACUGUAUAUGUAGCCCUAUUCCCUCAGUUAUGCUCGAGUGACUUUGUUGUAUAGCAAAUACCAAGUUUAAUAAAGUCUUCUGUUUGAUCUGAAAAGAGAUUGAAUAUAAAAAAAAAGAUGUGCCAUCAUGUGGUAUGAUAGCUAAUGAGACAACUAUCCACAAGAGACCAAAUAACACAGAAAUUAACAAUUAUAGGUCACCGUACGGCCUUCAACAAUGAGCAAAGCCCAUACCGCAUAGUCAGCUAUAAAAGUCCCCGAAAUGUAAGUGUAAAACAAUUCAAAUGAGAAAACUGACAUUCUUAUUUAUAUAAAAAAAAUGAACAAAAAGCAAAUGUGUAAACAAACAAUAACCACUGAAUUACAGGAGUCUGACUUUGGACAGGCACAUACAUACAUAAUGUGGCGAGGUUAAACCCUAGAUCUCCCACACAUGAGGCACACAGGAUACCAGUAUAAAGCCUAGAACUCCCACACAUGAGGCACACAGGAUACCAGUACAAUAACGAAACAGUCUGUUACUGUUGAAUAACUUGAUUUUGGAAUUAAAGCAUUGUUGAAAAAACAAUUUUCAGAUUCAGUGUGGUGAUGGUGAAGUAUUUAGGAUAUACCGUUGUCAUAUUUUAAACUGUUGUAUAAGCAUCCGUGCACUUCAGGGGUACUUUAUAGCUAAAUGAUCUGAGACUUCAUUUGUGAGCACUAUCACACCAAUGCUGUGUUUUUGAAGUUGAACCAGCUGCAUCAGGCAGGUGUAUAAGAAUCCAAUCUUUAUAAUUAAUUGUGAAGAGAACCGUCGUGUAGUGGAUAGUGCAUCGGACUACUAAAACAAAGGUUCCUGGUUCGAUUCCCAUUUCGGGGACGAUGAUAGUCCGUCGGAAGCGGACGAUAAAUGGCUGACCCAUGUUAAGAGAGAGCCAUAUCUCUUGCACGUAAAAGACCCCCUUGUAGAUUUAAAAAAAACAGCAGACUAAAGCCGCUACAAGGCAGCACCCGCAAAGUGGAAAGGGAUUUAUUUAAGUUGUAAAACUUGUUUCCCAAUCCACUAUAAAUAAAUAUGUUUAAACUAAAGUAAUUGUGAAGGAAUGGCCGAUUUUCCUGUCGAAUGGUUGAUGUUUCUUCUGUGGUACUCAGGUUUCCUAAGCCAAUCAAAACUAAGCUUCAUUUGAAAAAAAAUGUUAACUAUUUAUUUCAUAUUGCAUAUUUACAUGUUUAUUGUAAUUUAUUUGAAUGGUAUUUAUGAUAUUUUUAUGUCUUUUGAAUAUUAAAUAUAUUUUGGAAC
Molecule: long non-coding RNA, 3179 nt
Filed under: Mytilus galloprovincialis (Mediterranean mussel)
Lineage: Eukaryota; Metazoa; Mollusca; Bivalvia; Mytilida; Mytilidae
Source: RNAcentral